CGCGGGGUGGAGCAGCCUGGUAGCUCGUCGGGCUCAUAACCCGAAGGUCGUCGGUUCAAAUCCGGCCCCNACGG
RNAcentral lists this transfer RNA (74 nucleotides) under Pantoea sp. M_6. Its description in RNAcentral is "tRNA-Met". It matches the Rfam family "tRNA". Rfam says of the family: Transfer RNA (tRNA) molecules are approximately 80 nucleotides in length. The record is from RNAcentral. Lineage: Bacteria; Pseudomonadati; Pseudomonadota; Gammaproteobacteria; Enterobacterales; Erwiniaceae.